CCUUGCUGGCUCUCUGCAUCCAGGGGGUCUUCUCCAUCAUCGAAUUUCUUCCGCAUUUCUAGGAAAAAAAUCAAUAAAUGAAGACCCAGGCAUCUGGGAUGAUGGCCCCAGCCAGCCCCCUGUGGGGAGCUCGUGCUCCCUUAACUCUCAACUCAAGAGGCCCCUCCCUGAAGAUGACUCCUGAGUGAAGUCUGAUGGAGCUGUGUCAUCCCACUGCUGCACAGGCAGGAGGGGCAGAGUCCUCAAGGCACAGUAAUUUCUAAACUACCAUGAUUCAAUUCUUUCUUGGCAUUAAAACAUAAGACAAGUUGAUAGUUCAACGGUCA
Molecule: long non-coding RNA, 326 nt
Organism: Lepus europaeus (European hare)
Lineage: Eukaryota; Metazoa; Chordata; Mammalia; Lagomorpha; Leporidae
Exons: 3
Source: RefSeq, a predicted model, not a curated record